GGUAGCGUGGCCGAGUGGUCUAAGGCGCUGGUUUUAGGCACCAGUUCUUUCGGAGACGUAGGUUCGAAUCCCACUGCUGCCA
Molecule: transfer RNA, 82 nt
Filed under: Rhipicephalus microplus (southern cattle tick)
Lineage: Eukaryota; Metazoa; Arthropoda; Arachnida; Ixodida; Ixodidae
Description: tRNA-Leu
Rfam family: tRNA
About the family: Transfer RNA (tRNA) molecules are approximately 80 nucleotides in length.
Source: Rfam by way of RNAcentral